Long non-coding RNA from Anthonomus grandis grandis, 590 nucleotides. RefSeq lists it as uncharacterized. Lineage: Eukaryota; Metazoa; Arthropoda; Insecta; Coleoptera; Curculionidae. The record is from RefSeq and is a predicted model, not a curated record. The transcript has 2 exons.
CUUAAACUUCACUUGUUCCAAGUUUCAAUCCUAUCGAUUAAAUAGAACAGGUUCUAACAUGGGGUUGAAAAGAUUACACGUAAAACCCUAUGACCCGAGAUUUAAAAAAAUGCACUGUGAGUGUUCCUACAUCUAGUAUACCCGGAAAUGCCAAAACUGAAAAUAUUUUAGUUGUUUGUCCCUCAGUGACCGUGCCAUGUUUCAAUAUUUUGCUAUAAUCUAUCGAUGCAGUUCCCGAAGGACCAUAUGUGAGAACAGAAAUAGCUUUAAAAUUAAGGCACAAAUCGACCUGCAAACAUUCUUAGAGACGUUUUGUUUAGUCUCAAAAAAUACAUCGUGUGUCCUAAAAACUGUUUCUAUGGUUUCUUACUGUAAUUUUAAUAAAUGAAAUGUAUUUAUUUAUUUAUUUAAGAGAUUAUUAAGAUUUAUUUAUAGGUUGAUAUAAUUUUAUAUUCUAUAUUAAUUUAGCUUUUUAUUAGUUAAAUCUUAAUAGUUCAAUCAAUUUAAUAUUUGUAAAUUUUGGUUAUAAAAUGUAUAUAUAUAUUUUGUACAUAUUUAUUAGGUAUGAAUUAUAACUGAUAUCUCCACAA